Molecule: non-coding RNA, 3133 nt
Organism: Coffea arabica (coffee)
Lineage: Eukaryota; Viridiplantae; Streptophyta; Magnoliopsida; Gentianales; Rubiaceae
Source: RefSeq, a predicted model, not a curated record
CUCUUUCCUUGCAUCAAGAUCAUCACCAUCGUCAUUAUCUUCUUCUUUGUCUUCUAGUGUGUUGUCAAGCUGUGAUGAUUCUUGUUUUUCUCUCUGAGUUGUCAUUUGGACAUGGAGCUUAUGGGUUUGUAACUUGGCUCUUGAUGGCAUUAUUUGCAAUGGGCACCUCCCUCUUUGCCUGAUUUUUUGAUAGAUCUGAGCCUUUUUUUUUCCAUUUUUGUUUAUAUAAUUUUAGCUUGAACAACACCGGAUAUUUUAGAUCUGAGCCUUGCAACGGGCUCCUCCCAUGUGUAUAUUGAUUCUCACCAACACCGGAUACAAGUAAAACCACCAUCUAUGGCUGCUGGAAUUGGCGUCGCAGCCGGUUCCCAGAAAGUCUGUUUCCAGGUCAACUCAUUUCUAACCCGAAAACCCACCUCCUUAGUUGCAGAUAGUCUGACGUUUUCCCCUUUAGCCUAGCGAUUCAGCACAACUCGGAGAUGUCGAAGGAAGCCCAGGUUGAGGGUUUGUUUUGUGCUGGAGGAUGAGGAAUUGAAAGCCCAGUUGGUGAGAAGUGAGGAGGAAGCCCAAGAGCGCGAGAAAGUGAUGGCGAAGCGAAUCUCUGAUGUAAGAACGGCGGAGAAACUAGCCACGAAGAGAUCAGCAUCUUUUUUUGCUACAACUUGCGAGGAAUGAAGAAAUAGGUUUGCCAUAUUUUUUUGGGACAUUUUUAUCCCUUCACAAAUAUUCCUCCACUCUACAUAGCCAUGUAACCGGAUGAUUCACUGGUAAAAUUCGAUAAAAUGACUCCGCUGGCGUGCUUAUGCGAGUUUAGUGACCUUUUUGGUCAUAAAAAAAGUUUGAUAAUCAAAGGAUACCAUUUUAAAUAGUUGAGUGACUAUUUCGGCCAUUCACUCAUUUAGGAAUUUUUGGUUGGGGCUAGUUUACCAAUUGGGUUUUCCUCAACGUUGUUUGCGUUAAUUCCUAAGGUGAUUAAUCCCGCUGGUUUUACUGAUUUUUUUCUAAUAAGUUUAUGUAAUUUUAUUGCCAAAAUUAUUUCUAAACUACUGGCUUCCCAGCUGGCUCCUGUUUUUGGAAAAAUCAUCUCCCCUCAAUAGAGUGCAUUCAUCAAGGGUCGGUUGAUUUCAGAUAAUAUUUUGCUGGCACAGGAGAUGUUUUCAUCAAUCUCCAAAAAAGUUCAAGAUGGUAAUGUGGCCCUAAAGCUUGACAUGGCAAAAGCUUAUGACCAGGUGUCUUGCAUGUUUCUUUUACAGGCCAUGUGGUUUCUUCGCAUCCUCUCGAGAGCUAAGGCAAGGGGAUCUGUUGUCUCCAGCAUUAUUCAUCAUUUCUACUGAGGUGUUAUCAAAGGGUCUGAAUGCAUUGCAACUUAACAAGUCUUUCACCUCAUAUUUCGUGGCUCAACAUUGUCCUCUUGUGACUCAUUUAGCAUAUGCAAAUUACAUUAUUAUAUUCAAGAAGGGCAGUCAACGAGUGUUUGGGUCAAUUAGUUAAUGUUUCAAAGAGUUGUUUUUUGGUUUCACCAAGGGCUCCCGCAACUCGAAAGAGCUUAAUACAUAAGUUGACGGGUUUUCCUUCUAGGCAGUUCUUGGUUAGAUAUUUGGGGUGCCCAAUGUUUGUGGGCCGGAAGAGGAAAACAUAUUUCACACAUAUUAUUGAUGCAGUGGUGGCACGUAUACAACAAUGGAGUGCAAGGUGGUUGUCAAUUGGAGCUCGUGUGAUUUUGAUUAAAUCGGUCUUGUCAGCGAUGCCGGUGUAUUUGCUAUCCGUGUAGCUCCUCCCAAAGGUGUGAUCUACCAGAUUCAGCAAAUUUUUGCGAACUUCCUUUGGGGUGAUUCACAGUUUGGUCGUCGAUUUCAUUGGGUAGCUUGGGCGAAGAUGUGUUGUCCAACAGAUGUGGGAGGGCUUGGUACCGCAAGAGAUUUGUCAAAUGUUGGGGGAGGUUUGUCUAGCUACAGGGGAGGAUCCAAACACUCCUUUUUGGGCCUUGUUGAUGUCGGGAGAAUUUGAGAUCUGCUUUAUGAUUCCAAUAUUAGAUGGUUCUCCAUAGGAAUCUUGGAUAUACACAUUUGUUUGGCAGUCGGGAUUGCCGCUUAAGGUUUCAUUUUUUACGUGGAGAUUGUUAAAGCAAAAACUGCCUGUAGAUGAACAUCUCUUCAGGUUUCGGAUUGCUGGUCCGUCUAAGUGUGUUUGUUGCUUGUCUUCGGAGAGCGAGUCAAUCUAUCAGCCGUUUGCCAAAAGUGAGACCUCAAAUGUAGUGUGAGCAUAUUUCCAAGGCCCACUUGGUAUUUUCCGUCCGAACAUGGGAGUACGUGGUAGGUUGUUUUCCUGGGGUUGCUUAAGGCUACCAAUUUGAGGAUGAGGUGGCUAUUGCGGGUAACUCCUUCGGUUCUUUUUUGGUUUAUUUGGCAUUUUCAAAAUAAAGUUUCAAUUUGAUGGAGUGGUUAUUGAUUGGCGACAAUUGGUCUUCUAGAUAACCUCUGAGUUGCUAAUAAUGUUUCGAGCAAAGUUUAACGUAUUUUUCCCGAUGGGUACCCCUUGGUCGAAGGUUGUAAAUUGCUUGCAGGAAGUUCCUUCUGUGUUUAAAGUUUCUCGGGUCUCCUGGAGUUCUCCUUCGGUAGGUUACGUUAAAUUAAAUACAAAUGAAUCAUUGCAGGGUAAUCCGGGAUUGAGCGGUGGAGGCGGCAUUCUUUGGGAUUCCAACGGGGACGUGUUAUUCGCCUUUUCUAAAUUUUAUGGUAAUCUUUCUGCUCUGCAAGUAGAGGCUAGGGCAUUGUGUACUGGUCUGGAGAUUUGUGCUUUAAUGGGUGAGUCUAGAGUUAUGGUGGAGGUGGAUUCUAAGGUUUUAUGGUAUAUAUUGGAUUUUAAAGCAUUGAGUCCUCCAUCGAUUCGUUUGAUUAUACGGAAGAUCCGUUUAUUUGAUUCUCUAAUGCAUUCGGUUACCCAUUGUUUCCGGGGAGGCAAUAUGGUGGCAGAUUCUUUGGCAUCGUUUACUAUAUCAACUGGUUCUUUUGUUUUGUUUCACUUGCAGCACAGCUUACCUAGAUGAUCUAAGGGUUUGGUGCGGUUAGACCAACUUGGCAUUUGUAAUUUUGAAUUAGGAUAUGGUAAGGUUCGGUUCCCCCUCUGUGUGUAA